Small nucleolar RNA from Dioscorea cayenensis subsp. rotundata (Guinea yam), 106 nucleotides. NCBI's taxonomy places the organism in Eukaryota, Viridiplantae, Streptophyta, Magnoliopsida, Dioscoreales, Dioscoreaceae. The record is from RefSeq and is a predicted model, not a curated record.
AACUCAUGUUGAGAAUAUUUUCGUAGGAGCUCCUUGAACCUAUCCCAUGUCUCAAAUAGAGACUCCAAUUCCUUUUGCACAAAAGAUGAUAUUUCAUUUCAAAGCU